AUUUGAGAGUUUGAUCCUGGCUCAGGACGAACGCUGGCGGCGUGCCUAAUACAUGCAAGUUGAGCGCUGAAGGUUGGUACUUGUACCGACUGGAUGAGCAGCGAACGGGUGAGUAACGCGUGGGAAUCUGCCUUUGAGCGGGGGACAACAUUUGGAAACGAAUGCUAAUACCGCAUAAAAACUUUAAACACAAGUUUUAAGUUUGAAAGAUGCAAUUGCAUCACUCAAAGAUGAUCCCGCGUUGUAUUAGCUAGUUGGUGAGGUAAAGGCUCACCAAGGCGAUGAUACAUAGCCGACCUGAGAGGGUGAUCGGCCACAUUGGGACUGAGACACGGCCCAAACUCCUACGGGAGGCAGCAGUAGGGAAUCUUCGGCAAUGGACGAAAGUCUGACCGAGCAACGCCGCGUGAGUGAAGAAGGUUUUCGGAUCGUAAAACUCUGUUGGUAGAGAAGAACGUUGGUGAGAGUGGAAAGCUCAUCAAGUGACGGUAACUACCCAGAAAGGGACGGCUAACUACGUGCCAGCAGCCGCGGUAAUACGUAGGUCCCGAGCGUUGUCCGGAUUUAUUGGGCGUAAAGCGAGCGCAGGUGGUUUAUUAAGUCUGGUGUAAAAGGCAGUGGCUCAACCAUUGUAUGCAUUGGAAACUGGUAGACUUGAGUGCAGGAGAGGAGAGUGGAAUUCCAUGUGUAGCGGUGAAAUGCGUAGAUAUAUGGAGGAACACCGGUGGCGAAAGCGGCUCUCUGGCCUGUAACUGACACUGAGGCUCGAAAGCGUGGGGAGCAAACAGGAUUAGAUACCCUGGUAGUCCACGCCGUAAACGAUGAGUGCUAGAUGUAGGGAGCUAUAAGUUCUCUGUAUCGCAGCUAACGCAAUAAGCACUCCGCCUGGGGAGUACGACCGCAAGGUUGAAACUCAAAGGAAUUGACGGGGGCCCGCACAAGCGGUGGAGCAUGUGGUUUAAUUCGAAGCAACGCGAAGAACCUUACCAGGUCUUGACAUACUCGUGCUAUUCCUAGAGAUAGGAAGUUCCUUCGGGACACGGGAUACAGGUGGUGCAUGGUUGUCGUCAGCUCGUGUCGUGAGAUGUUGGUUUAAGUCCCGCAACGAGCGCAACCCCUAUUGUUAGUUGCCAUCAUUAAGUUGGGCACUCUAACGAGACUGCCGGUGAUAAACCGGAGGAAGGUGGGGAUGACGUCAAAUCAUCAUGCCCCUUAUGACCUGGGCUACACACGUGCUACAAUGGAUGGUACAACGAGUCGCGAGACAGUGAUUUUAGCUAAUCUCUUAAAACCAUUCUCAGUUCGGAUUGUAGGCUGCAACUCGCCUACAUGAAGUCGGAAUCGCUAGUAAUCGCGGAUCAGCACGCCGCGGUGAAUACGUUCCCGGGCCUUGUACACACCGCCCGUCACACCACGGGAGUUGGGAGUACCCGAAGUAGGUUGCCUAACCGCAAGGAGGGCGCUUCCUAAGGUAAGACCGAUGACUGGGGUGAAGUCGUAACAAGGUGCCGUAGAAGGUGCGGCUGGAUCACCUCCUUU
RNAcentral lists this ribosomal RNA (1539 nucleotides) under Lactococcus lactis. RNAcentral describes it as "bacterial SSU rRNA". It matches the Rfam family "Bacterial small subunit ribosomal RNA". Lineage: Bacteria; Bacillati; Bacillota; Bacilli; Lactobacillales; Streptococcaceae. The record is from RNAcentral.